This 253-nucleotide ribosomal RNA is filed under the name uncultured bacterium. Its description in RNAcentral is "partial 16S ribosomal RNA". It matches the Rfam family "Bacterial small subunit ribosomal RNA", at positions 524 to 776 of the family's 1533-position model. The record is from RNAcentral.
UACGUAGGCAGCAAGCGUUGUCCGGAAUCAUUGGGCGUAAAGCGCGUGUAGGCGGUCCGGUAAGUCGGUUGUGAAAGUCCAGGGCUCAACCCUGGGAUGCCGAUCGAUACUGCCGGACUAGAGUCCGGAAGAGGCGAGUGGAAUUCCCGGUGUAGCGGUGAAAUGCGCAGAUAUCGGGAGGAACACCUGUGGCGAAAGCGGCGCACUGGACCACAACUGACGCUGAGGCGCGAAAGCUAGGGGAGCAAACAGG